RNAcentral lists this ribosomal RNA (253 nucleotides) under uncultured bacterium. RNAcentral describes it as "partial 16S ribosomal RNA". It matches the Rfam family "Bacterial small subunit ribosomal RNA", at positions 524 to 776 of the family's 1533-position model. The record is from RNAcentral.
GACGGAGGGUGCAAACGUUGUUCGGAAUUACUGGGCGUAAAGGGCGCGUAGGCGGCCUGCUAAGUCGAACGUGAAAUCCCUGGGCUCAACCCAGGAACUGCGUCCGAUACUGGUUGGCUUGAAUCCGGGAGAGGGAUGUGGAAUUCCAGGUGUAGCGGUGAAAUGCGUAGAUAUCUGGAGGAACACCAGCGGCGAAGGCGGCGCUCUGAGCCGGAACUGACGCUGAGGAGCGAAAGCGUGGGUAGCAAACAGG